This is a non-coding RNA of Halorubrum sp. J07HR59, 84 nucleotides long. NCBI's taxonomy places the organism in Archaea, Methanobacteriati, Methanobacteriota, Halobacteria, Halobacteriales, Haloferacaceae. The record is from Rfam.
GGUGGGAUGGCAGAGCGGCCUAUUGCGCUCGCCUUGAAAGCGAGUGUCCGUCAGGACUCAUGGGUUCGAAUCCCAUUCCCACCG